UGCUCUAGUGGCCUAGUGGUUAGAUCAUCUGCCUCAGAUGUGGAAGGUUGCAGGUUCAAACCCUGACCAAGUCAU
This is a non-coding RNA of Potamilus streckersoni, 75 nucleotides long. The record is from the annotation of a GenBank genome assembly. NCBI's taxonomy places the organism in Eukaryota, Metazoa, Mollusca, Bivalvia, Unionida, Unionidae.